RNAcentral lists this transfer RNA (85 nucleotides) under Clostridium sp. Its description in RNAcentral is "tRNA-Leu". It matches the Rfam family "tRNA". Rfam says of the family: Transfer RNA (tRNA) molecules are approximately 80 nucleotides in length. Their secondary structure includes four short double-helical elements and three loops (D, anti-codon, and T loops). Lineage: Bacteria; Bacillati; Bacillota; Clostridia; Eubacteriales; Clostridiaceae. RNAcentral also lists the same sequence under 11 other names. The record is from RNAcentral.
GCGGGUGUGGUGGAAUAGGCAGACACAAGGGACUUAAAAUCCCUCGGACUUAUCAUCCGUGCCGGUUCAAGUCCGGCCACCCGCA